GACGAACGCUGGCGGCGUGCUUAACACAUGCAAGUCGAACGGAAAGGCCCUGCUUUUGUGGGGUGCUCGAGUGGCGAACGGGUGAGUAACACGUGAGUAACCUGCCCUUGACUUUGGGAUAACUUCAGGAAACUGGGGCUAAUACCGGAUAGGAGCUCCUGCUGCAUGGUGGGGGUUGGAAAGUUUCGGCGGUUGGGGAUGGACUCGCGGCUUAUCAGCUUGUUGGUGGGGUAGUGGCUUACCAAGGCUUUGACGGGUAGCCGACCUGAGAAGGUGACCGGCCACAUUGCGACUGAGAGACGGCCCAGACUCCUACGUGAGACAGCAGUGGGGAAUAUUGCACAAUGGGCGGAAGCGUGAGGCAGCAACGCCGCGUUCGGGAUGACGUCCUUCGGGUUGUAAACCGCUUUCGCCUGUUACGAAGCUUGAGUGACGGUAAUGAAUAAAGAAGCACCGGCUAACUACGUG
This 468-nucleotide ribosomal RNA is filed under the name uncultured bacterium. RNAcentral's name for it is "partial 16S ribosomal RNA". It matches the Rfam family "Bacterial small subunit ribosomal RNA", at positions 28 to 507 of the family's 1533-position model. The record is from RNAcentral.